RNAcentral lists this long non-coding RNA (249 nucleotides) under Mytilus galloprovincialis (Mediterranean mussel). The record is from RNAcentral. Lineage: Eukaryota; Metazoa; Mollusca; Bivalvia; Mytilida; Mytilidae.
GUGUAAAUAAAGGUGCUGUUAAUAAUGCUGUACUUUCUGAAUUAGGUUUAUUCCCACUUUCAUUGUCAGCCCUUAAAAAUACAAUUAACUUCUGGCUUCAUAUCAUUAAUAUGGACAGUGAGAGUAUGGUAAAGAAAGCAUACAAUGAAAACUUAAACUUUCCUAAUGGUUUUUGUAGUAAAUUAAAAGUGUUAUUAGGUAAACUUGGUUUUCAGCAUGUCUGGGAAAAUCAAAACACUAUGUCAAAGA